CGGGCACCUUCGGGUGUCAGUGGCAGACGGGUGAGUAACACGUGGGAACGUACCCUUCGGUUCGGAAUAACUCAGGGAAACUUGAGCUAAUACCGGAUACGCCCUUUUGGGGAAAGGUUUACUGCCGAAGGAUCGGCCCGCGUCUGAUUAGCUUGUUGGUGGGGUAACGGCCUACCAAGGCGACGAUCAGUAGCUGGUCUGAGAGGAUGAUCAGCCACACUGGGACUGAGACACGGCCCAG
RNAcentral lists this ribosomal RNA (241 nucleotides) under uncultured bacterium. RNAcentral's name for it is "partial 16S ribosomal RNA". It matches the Rfam family "Bacterial small subunit ribosomal RNA", at positions 67 to 334 of the family's 1533-position model. The record is from RNAcentral.